AACGUAGGUGGCAAGCGUUGUCCGGAAUUACUGGGUGUAAAGGGAGCGCAGGCGGGAGAGCAAGUUGGAAGUGAAAUCUGUGGGCUCAACUCACAAAUUGCUUUCAAAACUGUUUUUCUUGAGUGGUGUAGAGGUAGGCGGAAUUCCCGGUGUAGCGGUGGAAUGCAUAGAUAUCGGGAGGAACACCAGUGGCGAAGGCGGCCUACUGGGCACUAACUGACGCUGAGGCUCGAAAGCAUGGGUAGCAAACAGG
Molecule: ribosomal RNA, 253 nt
Filed under: Faecalibacterium prausnitzii
Lineage: Bacteria; Bacillati; Bacillota; Clostridia; Eubacteriales; Oscillospiraceae
Description: partial 16S ribosomal RNA
Rfam family: Bacterial small subunit ribosomal RNA
Source: RNAcentral